Molecule: transfer RNA, 74 nt
Filed under: Burkholderia sp. Bp8989
Lineage: Bacteria; Pseudomonadati; Pseudomonadota; Betaproteobacteria; Burkholderiales; Burkholderiaceae
Also listed under: 4 other names
Description: tRNA-Lys
Rfam family: tRNA
About the family: Transfer RNA (tRNA) molecules are approximately 80 nucleotides in length.
Source: RNAcentral
GGGCCGUUGGCUCAGUUGGUGGAGCGGCCGACUUUUUUGUCCGUUGGUCGCUGGUUCGAAUCCGGUACGGCCCG